RNAcentral lists this ribosomal RNA (1461 nucleotides) under uncultured prokaryote. Its description in RNAcentral is "partial 16S ribosomal RNA". It matches the Rfam family "Bacterial small subunit ribosomal RNA". The record is from RNAcentral.
UGGCUCAGGAUAAACGCUAGCGGCAGGCCUAACACAUGCAAGUCGAGGGGUAACAGGGGAUUUCGGUUCCGCUGACGACCGGCGCACGGGUGAGUAACGCGUAUACAACCUACCCAUAUCAGGGGGAUAGCCCGGAGAAAUCCGGAUUAAUACCCCAUAAUAUUUACGAGAGGCAUCUCUUGUAUCUUAAACCUUCGGGGGAUAUGGAUGGGUAUGCGUGCCAUUAGUUAGAUGGUGAGGUAACGGCUCACCAUGACAAUGAUGGCUACGGGGUCUUAAAGGAUGGUCCCGCACACUGGUACUGAGACACGGACCAGACUCCUACGGGAGGCAGCAGUGAGGAAUAUUGGUCAAUGGAGGCAACUCUGAACCAGCCAUGCCGCGUGAAGGAAGACUGCCCUAUGGGUUGUAAACUUUUUUUUUUUUGGAAGAAAAGCAUCUACGUGUAGAUGUCUGCCGGUACCAUAUGAAUAAGCAUCGGCUAACUCCGUGCCAGCAGCCGCGGUAAUACGGAGGAUGCGAGCGUUAUCCGGAUUUAUUAGGUUUAAAGGGUGCGUAGGCGGAAAAUUAAGUCAGUGGUGAAAUCUUGUAGCUUAACUACAAAACUGCCAUUGAUACUGGUUUUCUUGAGUAUAGUUGAGGUAGGCGGAAUGUGUAGUGUAGCGGUGAAAUGCAUAGAUAUUACACAGAACACCAAUUGCGAAGGCAGCUUACUAAACUAUAACUGACGCUGAUGCACGAAAGCGUGGGUAGCGAACAGGAUUAGAUACCCUGGUAGUCCACGCCGUAAACGAUGAUUACUGGUUGUGCGCGAUACACAGUGCGCGACUGAGGGAAACCAUUAAGUAAUCCACCUGGGGAGUACGUUCGCAAGAAUGAAACUCAAAGGAAUUGACGGGGGCCCGCACAAGCGGAGGAACAUGUGGUUUAAUUCGAUGAUACGCGAGGAACCUUACCUGGGCUUAAAUGUAGAGUGCAUAAAUUGGAAACAGUUUUUUCCUUCGGGACUCUUUACAAGGUGCUGCAUGGUUGUCGUCAGCUCGUGCCGUGAGGUGUCGGGUUAAGUCCCAUAACGAGCGCAACCCCUAUCGUUAGUUGCCAGCGGGUAAUGCCGGGGACUCUAGCGAAACUGCCGGUGUAAACCGAGAGGAAGGUGGGGAUGACGUCAAAUCAGCACGGCCCUUAUGUCCAGGGCUACACACGUGUUACAAUGGUCGAUACAAUGGGCAGCUACACAGCAAUGUGAUGCUAAUCUCUAAAGCCUGUCCCAGUUCGGAUUGGAGUCUGCAACCCGACUCCAUGAAGUUGGAUUCGCUAGUAAUCGGAUAUCAGCAAUGGCGCGGUGAUACGUUCCCGGGCCUUGUACACACCGCCCGUCAAGCCAUGGAAGUUUGGGGUGCCUGAAGUUCGUAACCGCAAGGAGCGACCUAAGGGUAAAACAAAUGACUGGGGCUAAGUCGU